RNAcentral lists this ribosomal RNA (2902 nucleotides) under Shigella sonnei. RNAcentral describes it as "bacterial LSU rRNA". It matches the Rfam family "Bacterial large subunit ribosomal RNA". The record is from RNAcentral. Lineage: Bacteria; Pseudomonadati; Pseudomonadota; Gammaproteobacteria; Enterobacterales; Enterobacteriaceae.
UUAAGCGACUAAGCGUACACGGUGGAUGCCCUGGCAGUCAGAGGCGAUGAAGGACGUGCUAAUCUGCGAUAAGCGUCGGUAAGGUGAUAUGAACCGUUAUAACCGGCGAUUUCCGAAUGGGGAAACCCAGUGUGUUUCGACACACUAUCAUUAACUGAAUCCAUAGGUUAAUGAGGCGAACCGGGGGAACUGAAACAUCUAAGUACCCCGAGGAAAAGAAAUCAACCGAGAUUCCCCCAGUAGCGGCGAGCGAACGGGGAGCAGCCCAGAGCCUGAAUCAGUGUGUGUGUUAGUGGAAGCGUCUGGAAAGGCGCGCGAUACAGGGUGACAGCCCCGUACACAAAAAUACACAUAUUGUGAGCUCGAUGAGUAGGGCGGGACACGUGGUAUCCUGUCUGAAUAUGGGGGGACCAUCCUCCAAGGCUAAAUACUCCUGACUGACCGAUAGUGAACCAGUACCGUGAGGGAAAGGCGAAAAGAACCCCGGCGAGGGGAGUGAAAAAGAACCUGAAACCGUGUACGUACAAGCAGUGGGAGCACGCUUAGGCGUGUGACUGCGUACCUUUUGUAUAAUGGGUCAGCGACUUAUAUUCUGUAGCAAGGUUAACCGAAUAGGGGAGCCGAAGGGAAACCGAGUCUUAACUGGGCGUUAAGUUGCAGGGUAUAGACCCGAAACCCGGUGAUCUAGCCAUGGGCAGGUUGAAGGUUGGGUAACACUAACUGGAGGACCGAACCGACUAAUGUUGAAAAAUUAGCGGAUGACUUGUGGCUGGGGGUGAAAGGCCAAUCAAACCGGGAGAUAGCUGGUUCUCCCCGAAAGCUAUUUAGGUAGCGCCUCGUGAAUUCAUCUCCGGGGGUAGAGCACUGUUUCGGCAAGGGGGUCAUCCCGACUUACCAACCCGAUGCAAACUGCGAAUACCGGAGAAUGUUAUCACGGGAGACACACGGCGGGUGCUAACGUCCGUCGUGAAGAGGGAAACAACCCAGACCGCCAGCUAAGGUCCCAAAGUCAUGGUUAAGUGGGAAACGAUGUGGGAAGGCCCAGACAGCCAGGAUGUUGGCUUAGAAGCAGCCAUCAUUUAAAGAAAGCGUAAUAGCUCACUGGUCGAGUCGGCCUGCGCGGAAGAUGUAACGGGGCUAAACCAUGCACCGAAGCUGCGGCAGCGACGCUUAUGCGUUGUUGGGUAGGGGAGCGUUCUGUAAGCCUGCGAAGGUGUGCUGUGAGGCAUGCUGGAGGUAUCAGAAGUGCGAAUGCUGACAUAAGUAACGAUAAAGCGGGUGAAAAGCCCGCUCGCCGGAAGACCAAGGGUUCCUGUCCAACGUUAAUCGGGGCAGGGUGAGUCGACCCCUAAGGCGAGGCCGAAAGGCGUAGUCGAUGGGAAACAGGUUAAUAUUCCUGUACUUGGUGUUACUGCGAAGGGGGGACGGAGAAGGCUAUGUUGGCCGGGCGACGGUUGUCCCGGUUUAAGCGUGUAGGCUGGUUUUCCAGGCAAAUCCGGAAAAUCAAGGCUGAGGCGUGAUGACGAGGCACUACGGUGCUGAAGCAACAAAUGCCCUGCUUCCAGGAAAAGCCUCUAAGCAUCAGGUAACAUCAAAUCGUACCCCAAACCGACACAGGUGGUCAGGUAGAGAAUACCAAGGCGCUUGAGAGAACUCGGGUGAAGGAACUAGGCAAAAUGGUGCCGUAACUUCGGGAGAAGGCACGCUGAUAUGUAGGUGAAGUCCCUUGCGGAUGGAGCUGAAAUCAGUCGAAGAUACCAGCUGGCUGCAACUGUUUAUUAAAAACACAGCACUGUGCAAACACGAAAGUGGACGUAUACGGUGUGACGCCUGCCCGGUGCCGGAAGGUUAAUUGAUGGGGUCAGCGCAAGCGAAGCUCUUGAUCGAAGCCCCGGUAAACGGCGGCCGUAACUAUAACGGUCCUAAGGUAGCGAAAUUCCUUGUCGGGUAAGUUCCGACCUGCACGAAUGGCGUAAUGAUGGCCAGGCUGUCUCCACCCGAGACUCAGUGAAAUUGAACUCGCUGUGAAGAUGCAGUGUACCCGCGGCAAGACGGAAAGACCCCGUGAACCUUUACUAUAGCUUGACACUGAACAUUGAGCCUUGAUGUGUAGGAUAGGUGGGAGGCUUUGAAGUGUGGACGCCAGUCUGCAUGGAGCCGGCCUUGAAAUACCACCCUUUAAUGUUUGAUGUUCUAACGUGGACCCGUGAUCCGGGUUGCGGACAGUGUCUGGUGGGUAGUUUGACUGGGGCGGUCUCCUCCUAAAGAGUAACGGAGGAGCACGAAGGUUGGCUAAUCCUGGUCGGACAUCAGGAGGUUAGUGCAAUGGCAUAAGCCAGCUUGACUGCGAGCGUGACGGCGCGAGCAGGUGCGAAAGCAGGUCAUAGUGAUCCGGUGGUUCUGAAUGGAAGGGCCAUCGCUCAACGGAUAAAAGGUACUCCGGGGAUAACAGGCUGAUACCGCCCAAGAGUUCAUAUCGACGGCGGUGUUUGGCACCUCGAUGUCGGCUCAUCACAUCCUGGGGCUGAAGUAGGUCCCAAGGGUAUGGCUGUUCGCCAUUUAAAGUGGUACGCGAGCUGGGUUUAGAACGUCGUGAGACAGUUCGGUCCCUAUCUGCCGUGGGCGCUGGAGAACUGAGGGGGGCUGCUCCUAGUACGAGAGGACCGGAGUGGACGCAUCACUGGUGUUCGGGUUGUCAUGCCAAUGGCACUGCCCGGUAGCUAAAUGCGGAAGAGAUAAGUGCUGAAAGCAUCUAAGCACGAAACUUGCCCCGAGAUGAGUUCUCCCUGACCCUUUAAGGGUCCUGAAGGAACGUUGAAGACGACGACGUUGAUAGGCCGGGUGUGUAAGCGCAGCGAUGCGUUGAGCUAACCGGUACUAAUGAACCGUGAGGCUUAACCUU